AAAAUGGCGGACGGAGGAGCAGCGAGUCAAGAUGAGAGUUCAGCCGCGGCGGCAGCAGCAGCAGCUACUACUGGGCUGUAAACAGUGAUGCCAGCAAAAUGUUACUUCAGCUGAUGAAGUGAUGCUGUUUCGAGAAUUUGAAAGCAGUUUUUCAGUGGAUAAAGAAGUUGGACAGCACGAUUUGUUGCAUGUGAUGAAGGAUUAAUCAGCAUACACCUUCACUUGUAUUAGCUUAAGAUGGAAUGGUUCUGGGCAAUAUAAAAUAACAAACUCAAGAAUGAACAAUCCGUCAGAAACCAGUAAACCAUCUAUGGAGAGUGGAGAUGGCAACACAGCAUGGACGCUUUUAUGAUAUGGGCACUGAAACUAAAGCACAUGGUGGAAGAAGGAUUGGUAGCAUAUAGAAACAUUUUUAGACAAAUGAAAAAGCAAAAAAGUCAGAAAUUACAGUGUAUUUCCAUAAAGUUACACCAAGUGUGCCUGCCUCUUCUGCCUCCCCUUCCAGCUUUUUGUCUUCUGCCAUUUCUGAGUCAGCAAGACCCCUCCUGUUCCUCCUCCUCAGCCUACUCAGCAUGAAGACAAGGAUGAAGAUCUUUGUGAUGAUCCACAUCCACUUAAUGAAUAGCACACAAACCAAUGGUCUGGACUUUCAGAAGCAGCCUGUGCCUGUAGGAGGAGCAAUCUCAACAGCCCAGGCGCAGGCUUUCCUUGGACAUCUCCAUCAGGUCCAACUCGCUGGAACAAGUUUACAGGCUGCUGCUCAGUCUUUAAAUGUACAGUCUAAAUCUAAUGAAGAAUCGGGGGAUUCACAGCAGCCAAGCCAGCCUUCCCAGCAGCCUUCAGUGCAGGCAGCCAUUCCCCAGACCCAGCUUAUGCUAGCUGGAGGACAGAUAACUGGGCUUACUCUGACGCCUGCCCAGCAACAGUUACUACUACAGCAGGCACAGGCACAGGCACAGCUGCUGGCUGCUGCAGUGCAGCAGCACUCCGCCAGCCAGCAGCACAGUGCUGCUGGGGCCACCAUCUCCGCCUCUGCUGCCACGCCCAUGACGCAGAUCCCCCUGUCUCAGCCCAUACAGAUCGCACAGGAUCUUCAACAACUGCAACAGCUUCAACAGCAGAAUCUCAACCUGCAACAGUUUGUGUUGGUGCAUCCAACCACCAAUUUGCAGCCAGCGCAGUUUAUCAUCUCACAGACGCCCCAGGGCCAGCAGGGUCUCCUGCAAGCGCAAAAUCUUCUAACACAACUACCUCAGCAAAGCCAAGCCAACCUCCUACAGUCGCAGCCAAGCAUCACCCUCACCUCCCAGCCAGCAACCCCAACACGCACAAUAGCAGCAACCCCAAUUCAGACACUUCCACAGAGCCAGUCAACACCAAAGCGAAUUGAUACUCCCAGCUUGGAGGAGCCCAGUGACCUUGAGGAGCUUGAGCAGUUUGCCAAGACCUUCAAACAAAGACGAAUCAAACUUGGUUUCACUCAGGGUGAUGUUGGGCUCGCUAUGGGGAAACUAUAUGGAAAUGACUUCAGCCAAACUACCAUCUCUCGCUUUGAAGCCUUGAACCUCAGCUUUAAGAACAUGUGCAAGUUGAAGCCACUUUUAGAGAAGUGGCUAAAUGAUGCAGAGAACCUCUCAUCUGAUUCGUCCCUCUCCAGCCCAAGUGCCCUGAAUUCUCCAGGAAUUGAGGGCUUGAGCCGUAGGAGGAAGAAACGCACCAGCAUAGAGACCAACAUCCGUGUGGCCUUAGAGAAGAGUUUCUUGGAGAAUCAAAAGCCUACCUCGGAAGAGAUCACUAUGAUUGCUGAUCAGCUCAAUAUGGAAAAAGAGGUGAUUCGUGUUUGGUUCUGUAACCGCCGCCAGAAAGAAAAAAGAAUCAACCCACCAAGCAGUGGUGGGACCAGCAGCUCACCUAUCAAAGCAAUUUUCCCCAGCCCAACUUCACUGGUGGCGACCACACCAAGCCUUGUGACUAGCAGUGCAGCAACUACCCUCACAGUCAGCCCUGUCCUCCCUCUGACCAGUGCUGCUGUGACGAAUCUUUCAGUUACAGGCACUUCAGACACCACCUCCAACAACACAGCAACCGUGAUUUCCACAGCGCCUCCAGCUUCCUCAGCAGUCACGUCCCCCUCUCUGAGUCCCUCCCCUUCUGCCUCAGCCUCCACCUCCGAGGCAUCCAGUGCCAGUGAGACCAGCACAACACAGACCACCUCCACUCCUUUGUCCUCCCCUCUUGGGACCAGCCAGGUGAUGGUGACAGCGUCAGGUUUGCAAACAGCAGCAGCUGCUGCCCUUCAAGGAGCUGCACAGUUGCCAGCAAAUGCCAGUCUUGCUGCCAUGGCAGCUGCUGCAGGACUAAACCCAAGCCUGAUGGCACCCUCACAGUUUGCGGCUGGAGGUGCCUUACUCAGUCUGAAUCCAGGGACCCUGAGCGGUGCUCUCAGCCCAGCUCUAAUGAGCAACAGUACACUGGCAACUAUUCAAGCUCUUGCUUCUGGUGGCUCUCUUCCAAUAACAUCACUUGAUGCAACUGGGAACCUGGUAUUUGCCAAUGCAGGAGGAGCCCCCAACAUCGUGACUGCCCCUCUGUUCCUGAACCCUCAGAACCUCUCUCUGCUCACCAGCAACCCCGUUAGCUUGGUCUCUGCCGCCGCAGCAUCUGCAGGGAACUCUGCACCUGUAGCCAGCCUUCACGCCACCUCCACCUCUGCUGAGUCCAUCCAGAACUCUCUCUUCACAGUGGCCUCUGCCAGCGGGGCUGCAUCCACCACCACCACCGCCUCCAAGGCACAGUGAGCUGGGCGGAGCUGGGCUGCCAGAAGCCUUUUUCACUCUGCGGUGUGAUUGGACUGCCAGCCAGGUUAAUAAACUGAAAAAUGUGAUUGGCUUCCUCUCGCCGUGUUGUGAGGGCAAAGGAGAGAAGGGAGAAAAAAAAAAAAAAACCACACACACACAAACACAUACACACAUACCAGAAAAAGAAAGAAAGGAUGGAGACGGGACAUUUGCCUAAUUUUGUAAUAAAACACUGUCUUUUCAGGAUUGCUUCAUGGAUUGGAGAACUUUCUAACCAAAAAUUAAAAAAAAAAAAAAAAAGAAACAAAAAAAUCAAAAACAAACAAAAAUAAGUGAAAGGACUACUUAUCAUUUCCAGCAGUCAUGAUGACAAGUUAAGGUGGGUUACCAAUUCCAAUAUAGGAAGGGGAUUUCUUGUUUGUCUAAAUUUCUUUUUUUCUUAAAAAAAAAAAAGUCAUUUUUAUGGGUCUGUUGUACAGGCCAUUAAGUCAUAACAAGGUGUUUAUAAUCGUAUCAAUUGUGUUGGGGGUUCCUUUCUUAACUGGUACAAUUUAGGCAGGCCUGUAUUACUGUAUUAUUAUUGUUGUUGUUGUUAUUGUUUUAUAUAUAUAUAGUUUGGACAUGUUUAUUAUCUCUUGCUCCUGGAUCCUAUUUCAGUGAGCUCCCACACUGUGGGGAGGGAGGGUUUUGGGGUAAGGGGAGACUUCUGUUCUUAACUGUGGGGAAUGUUCUUGCUGGUUUCCUUAUCCUUGAUGACUCUUACAGAGGUGCUAGAAAAUUAUUUUCUUUUGCCACUUAUGCAAGAGGCUUGGUGCAGAAGCUGAAGGCAGUGUGUGCAAACACUCCCAUUCCACACACGCCCCUUCCCCUCCCCACAUCAGGUGGUGCCUUUGGAGCACUUUUGUGUAGGAAGGAAUUCCUGCUGAACUGUAGCUCUCACUCACCCCCAAAUCAUUGAAUGACCCUGAGGCCCAGUUCCUGUGGUGCAACAGUGCUGCUUUCUGCUACUUUCAAUGGGAACAGCUGUACAUGUUGCAGGGCAGGAUUUGGUUCCCAAGAGCAAAGACUACUGCAGACACCUGACUUGGUGGUUCUCCUGAUUUCUUAUCUCCUGAAAAAUGCUCCUACUGUUGGUGUGUUUGUUUGUUUGUUCCAUUUUGUGGAAGUUUUUCAUCCAAACUUUAACUAACUUGGCAAAGAAAAAAACUGACUUAUUGAAAUUGGGAAACUUUUCCCUUCUUUUAUUUUCUAAUGGAAUUCUACUAGACUAUUUUCCAUUGAUAAUGUAUACAAAAGAGGUGUCAUGAGAAGAGUGUAAGGUUACCACCUUUUCCUCUAGAGAGCCACAGACUUCCUUUCCACCGGAUGGUUUAUAAAUUCCUCUAACCCUGAGAUUCUUCUUGGUUCUCUGACUAAAGGAGGCACUUAUUAGCCGGGCUGGGAUCUGUAGAACCUUUCAAGAAGGACUUUGAGCAGGAACUUUGCACACACCUUAAGUGUCUCCUUGGUUUGUUCGUGAUGCUCCUGCUAGGUAGGUCUAAAUGGCAAUACACAUCUCUUUAUUCAAUGUAGAAAGUAAUUAGCUCUGUAAUUAUUUUCAGGGUGUUUCUAGACUAUAUAAAUGAGCCCAUUGAAAAGGAAGAGCUUGUGAAAGUGGAUGAAGAGGAAUAAGGGUAACUUGGAGAUUAAAUUCCCCUUUCUGUCAGUGUACUGUUAUUAUGCCAUCUGUACCAAAAAAUUUUCCAAAAGACUGGAUCACUGCAGUGCAGCUCAUCUAAGUUCCCCUUCUUAUUGGAGUUAAAGGUUCCCAUUUGGUGGCUGUGGGUGCUUGCUUAAAUCUCUGGUGGUCCCAAGACUGCACUUUUUCUCCCUUUCGAGCUGGGGAUGUAGAGAGAACUUACUGGUGAUUUUUAUUCUGAUUGCUUUUGUUUGUGUCCACAAGGGAGCUUGGAUUCUGUCUGGAUACUUGUCUCUCUUUACCAUUGUCCGGUAAGGCAGUAAAUACAGACACAACAUGUACGUUUGUGUGUGAUUCAAGUGGGAGACAGUCUGUUAAAAGGUCAGAAACAUUUUAGUCCCCUUUUAAAUUUUUCUUUUAGUUUAUUUCUAUCUUGUUUUAUUUCACAGAUAUUUAAUUACCACCCCUAAAUUUCCUCCUCUUACCCUUCACCUUCCCUAAAAUCCUUCCAAAAUCAGUGAACUGCAAGCAGGGAAACUAACAAAUGUCCAUUCACCCUUUUUGUGUGGUGUGUUUUUUUAUGUUUUAUUUUGUUUUUUAACUAAGCUUGAACCAAAGUCAAUUUUUAGCAAGCUGCUGUACUAAUGGACUAGUUGAUAACGUGCAGUUCAGACACAUCGAGGAGAUAGAUGCUACUGACAAUUUCUUUUUCAUUUGUCUUUAUUAAUUUUAUAUAAAAGUUGCUGCUUGUUUUUAAUCUUUUAUGUUGGUAAAUUGUAAUAUCCUCUGGGCAGACAUUAACUUGAUGUUUAACUAGUUUAUUAGGUUGGUGUGUAAAUAGAAUGACAAUGUCAAUUACUAAUUUCUCUCCUCUCCAUUCACUUUUUCUCUGUUGUAGUUAAAUUUAAUCUUCUAUCCUGACUUGACAUCUCUACCUUUAGUCUGUGCAAAUGAUUUUAGGGCUAUCAGUAAUGCUGUAGCUGCCCAUAAGAAUGAGUCCCUCCCUCGGGAGUGGUGAAACUUAGAAGGAAGGAUUCAGGGAGGAAAAUGCUGGUGCCCACUGUACUGGAUUAGAAGUUAUAGCAUUAAUUUCUCAAAAUUGCUACCAAAGGAAGUGUGGAGUCCCAAGGGACUCAAGCUCGGUGAGGUAAGACAAAGGGCAAGGAAAGGCUGUUUGGGUGUUCUUUUUUUUCCCCACAUAUGGUUUAGAAAAUGAUCCCUUUCCCAAAAAAAACUCACCAACAGACUUUAAUAUUAGAAAAGAUACUAAGCUUUAAAUGUCAAUACAAUACAAUACAAUUCCCUGCCCUGUCUAUAUUUUCUACUCAAUUUGGGAUAAGGGGAUUUUAUGUGAAGCACUUGAUGAGGGUAGACCAGCAUAAAAAAUCUGUUUAAAAGAAGAAAUAAUCUUUAGGAAAAGAUAAAUCUUUAGAUAAAAAUAAAUCUAAAGAUAAAUCUUUAGAUAAAAUUUUUUCUCUUUUUUUACUUAUUUAAAAAUAAGUUGUGAAAUGAAAGGUACAUUUACACAUGUACACACGAAACACUAAUAUAGCUUUUUGGUGAUGGUUUAGUUUAAAAUCAACUCCCUAUCCAUCAUCCCUAGAUAUUCUACUUAUCAUAUUGCUUCAUGAACACCUUAGUCAUUUUUUCUUUACGUAUAUUUUUUUUAUCAUCUCAAGAAAUGCAUUUUGAAUUGAAUGAACUAUCUUCUAAGCUAAGGUACUCAAAUUUAACUUUUAGCCACCUUAUAUGGGAGAGCCUGGAAACUAAAGGGGGCCAGGGACCGUUUGACCAAAAAGAGGUGUUUGGUGGAGUUUCUGCAUUUGAAAGAAGAAAGGCCAGAGAGGUCAUCACAAUUCACUGUAUUAUUCUUUUUUUCACCUUAAUGUUUAUGCAAAUUUUAUUUUAUAUUUCUGAAUUUGGUUAGCACAUACUAAGCCAAAGACUAUUCUAAAUGCAUUUAUAGUGAAUACUAUAUAUGCCCAUGGUAAUGGGUCCUCCCUAAGGAGUGGUGAAUGUAAUUGUGUGAAUCCUGCUUAUCACAAGUGGUGCAAUUUGGUCAUAAACUUUAUUUAUAGUAUACAUCUGAAUAACAGAGCAGAAAGACCUAAAAAAGGGCUUCUCACAGGAACAAUAUUACUAUGUUGUUCUAAGAAAAAAUGAGUGCUGUAUUAGUUUAAGUGUUUCUGAAGUUCUAUAGGCAGCAUUUUAGAAUUAAGAAUUGUGUAGAUCCAUUAACUGAUAGAAUUCACAUGUCCUUUUAUUUGUUAUCAGAAAGAUCAAUACUAUCCCAAUUUAUUCAACUUGUUACCCAAGAAAUGGAACCAAAGGAAUCCAACUUUCAUUUUGUGUAGAAUCAUACCUAUUUAUACUUAAUGCUAGCACUGUAAGAAAUAAAUCUUUUUUGUUUAAAAAAGGGAAGAUAAGAUUAAAGAUUCUUAGUGAGAUCAUCUUGCCAAUUUGUUGUACAUCUCUCAUUCAUUGUUGGGGAAAAAAAAGCACAACUAUACCUCUUUAAUGUUAUUUUCUUCCAUUAUCCCUCAUUUAUUUGGAAAGAUAAGGGAAACCUUGUCUGUAUUAUCCAGAAGCACAGAUAUUUGCUUGACACAAUAUUUAAAUUCAGCCCAAUCUUUAACAUUAAAAAAUUUUCUUUUUAACUUGCUGGAAAAGUCGGAUACAUUGGCAAAUAUAGGGAAUUCAUGUCUUUUUUGUUUUGUUUUGUUUUUCUGGUCUUGUUCUGUUGCCUAGGCUGGAGUGCAAUGGCACAAUCUCGGCUCACUGCAACCUCUGCCUCACGGGUUCAAGCAAUUCUCCUGCCUCAGCCUCCCAAGUAGCUGGGAUUACAGGCGCCCACCACUGCACCCGGCUGAUUUUUGUAUUUUUAGUAGGGCGGGGUUUCUCCGUGUUGGCCAGGCUUUUUGAACUCCUGACCUCAGGUGAUCCACCCGCCUCGGCCUCCCAAAGUGCUGGGAUUACAGGCGUGAGCCACUGCGCCCAUCCUCAUGUCAAUUUUUAAAGUGAUAAAUCCUGAUAUUAUACAUUGCAAUUAGUGUAGAAUAAAUGCUUGGCUUAUAGAACUCUCUGUUCUUAGUCUAAAGCUGUUCCCAAACCAGGUCAUCCUCAUGAAACAUUCUUGACCAAGAAAAAAGAUAAGGUCAUUGAGACAGGAAGACAGAGGAAAAGCCUCUUGCUGUUGUUUCUUCCCAAGAAAGGAGAAGCCUGCCAGGGAGAAGUCAGUAGUAUCACUGACUCACCCUAUCACUGAGUGUAGGGUGUGGUAGCAAGGAGGAGGCAGGGAAUUCAUGCUGACAGGUGGCUCUGGCCUGGCUCUUGGGGGGCCUUCCGAAGACCAGUCUGCAGUUUGAGGAAGGGCCCCAACAAUUCAUUUGGAGAGCUUGGCCAAAUACUUUCUCAUUAAAUCAGCACCUAAACUUGAUGAACUUAAAGUUUGUUUAUUAGAGUUGAAAACAUUAAAAGAUGACUGAUACUAAUGGGAGAAAAAUACUAAAGACCCAAAAUUUAAAAUUUUCCAAAAUGGACAAGAGUUGAUGGGUUAAUUUGCUCAUAACUGAUAUGAGUUUGCUUUUGUGUGUGUGUGGAAAGCAUUUAAUGUGUGAUGCUGUUCAUAGUCCUGGCUAUUUGAUGUCAUUUUCAGUUUUACAACAUUUUGAGGAUGACACUUUAUAAAAUGGUAAAUCUUUCUCAGCGUUUACAAACUUGGCUUUUGAGAAGGGGAAAAUCCUCUUUGCUAUUUCUGUAAGAAGAAUAACUGAGAUCAGCUAUUAUAUAGGUUCGCGUGGAUGGUGUACACAAUACAAAUGUAAACUUGGACAGGAAUAGGAUAAAUAAAUUGCUUUCAUCAUAAAGGCCAAUCAUCCAUUUCUUAAUCCAAAGAGAUUAAAUAUAAAUAGGACACCCCUGAGAUUUCCAGUAAGGUAUUUGAAAGAAUUCCACUGGGAGGACAGGGAAUAUAUUUUUUCUCAGAGCGUCCAGUUUGUACCCAGUUUUCUGUAUGGUUUGUGAACUGUAGCUUUUAAAAAAAAAAAUUAUUUUGUAGUUUUCUUCUAACCUUAUUCAUUAAGUAGUUCCUUGUUUUGGCCCUUCUACUCUUGGCCUUAGCUAAAAGCAGUAAAUGUGAGUGAAUUUUAUGUUGAUUGUGUCAUCUGGAUCUCCUUUCCUUCCCUUCUUUUUCUCGUUGAGUGGUGGUACCUUAAUUUGGGUAACAGCUAGCUUCUGGCACCUUCAUAAAAUACCUCAGAAUAGCUUAGCAUUGUUGCAAAACUGGUUUUAAACUAAAAACCAAAUAAAUAAAUGAAAAAAUUUUAUAAAUAGUGGAAGUAAUUCUAGCUGUAGCAUUUAGUUGAACUAAUGUUUAUUAUGAUCGAUAAACAAGAUUGAUGCUGUAUGUAUUUGGGAUCCUGUUUAUAGGUUACAAUUUAUAGGGUUAGGGAGGGUUGGGUGGGGGAAGAGGAGAUGUUGAUUAUGUUAGAAGGAAAACAUUGCUCGUGUGUGUGUUUGUUUUUUCUUAUAUCUGUCUUGCCAAAGGAAACUUGAUUUUCCCUGUGAUUGGCUUUGGCUUCUCUGUGGUCUGAUCUGCAGCAGUGUGUGGUGGCAUGCAGGUAACAUAUGGGGUGUCCAGUAGGUUCAGGGACCCUGAGGGUGCAUUUACAUCCCUUCCUAUGGUUGCCCAUGCCCCCCAGACCCUGCCAACCUCUCCUAAUGAUUCAUUACCUCUGUACAUAGCAAAAGCAUAGACAAAGGAUGAAUGUGUGAAUGCCUGGAUGUGCAGUUGAGAAAUAGAGGCAGAAAUAGACAUGCACCAAUUAAUUUGGAGCCAAGAGGUGAGUGAUCGAUAUAUCUUAAAUCUAGGAAAGUUAAAGUGAAACAGGUUCUUUGUGUUGCCCUCUGUCAAGUUACUGAAUGUUGUGCUAAUAACACAACAUUUUAAAACCUUACUUACUUUCCUCAUACCAAGGCUAGUUCUUUCUAGACCAAAAACACAAACAGGAUAAAAAGCAAACCAAGAAGUUGAAAGCUAACCUGCCCACCUCACCCCUGUGAUAUAAAGUGUGACCCUUAAGGAUUGGUUGGUGGGAUUGAGGAGAGAAUUAUUCUUGGUGGGAACAUGAAUGAGAAAUGAUGCUGGCUUAGGAAAAAUUACAAGCCCUUUCUGCCCAUACUCUGGGACAAACUUUCUUGGCUCCCUGAGUUCGGAUAUAGACUGUAUCUCCAGAAAGGCUAUUUUUUUAAAUAAAUGAUCUCACAGAACUUAAGUGGGAUUUGGUUUAGAUACCAAAGACACUGCUAAUGUCAUUGCUUAUCCUUAAGUUUUCAAAACAGGCAGAGGGAAUAGGAGCAAAAAGCCAAAAUUUGGAAAAGCUUUACUUUAUCUCUUUCCUUCCCUUUUCCCCUUUUCCCAGUCCCCUGCUUUUUGAAGGAAGUCUUCUUGGUUGUCCUGGCUUUGGAAAAGAGAUUUAUUUUGUUUUGCUCUGCUGGCUCUUUAAAGAUGGAUAGUUGCUCAGUGUAGCAGUGAUGUUCUUGGAAUUGCUGAGAAAUUUGGGGAGGACAAAAGAUAGGGGUAGAAUUUUUUCAUUAUUUCCCUUUAUCUAAUACUUUUAAAUAGAACCAACACAGCCUAUAUGAGUUCAGACAAUAUUUAGAUGUGAUAUCUCCAUCUGUCUCCUGUAAAAGAUAAGAAUUUUCAAGAACAGGAUUACGUGGAAAACCAAAAGAUCUUCCCUUACUCUCCUAUAAAUAUUUUGUUCCAAAUGUUUUUAUAUAUGGGCUCUAGGGAGUCAAGUAGUUCAUUGUUUUGGUGUACUAUUGAUAGGACACAGAAAGGGAGAGAGGGUAAAGAAAUACAUCGCUCUCUGAAUAUUGCAUCAAAAAUGAUCAGGUUGCAGAACUUCAUGAAAACUUUACUAAUAAUCUUAUUCUGACAUUAUGUAAAGGUGGUAUUAAUAUUGUAUGACUUUUCAAAGUGCUAGAUAGGUUUAUAAGUAAGUAAUAGGGAUGUUGAAGAUUAGAGCACUUGAAACAGAAGUUCUGGGAAAAUAAGGUGUGUGUAAUGGAACACCACUUUGAGCACAGAAACAAAGGUCCCUUGGACCUGGUAGGGAAGAUGUGAUUUAUGAUUGUUUCUGUGUCCCUGUAUCUGCCCACCCUGCACAGGGCUCCACCACCCAGGGCCACCUUCUGGUUUAAACCCAGGACUCUGUCAAAAAGUUAAGACCCCAAAACUAAUUUCCUGUAAAAAACAUUGAGGACUGCUGCAAAGUUUUCCCAUGUUUUCUUUGUGUACUUGUUCAUCAUUGUAUAAGUUAGCCACAGCUUCACAAGAGCAGCUUAAGGCUUCUUUCAUAAAUUGGCAGUGGCAUUGAGUUCUCAAACAUAUCCCAAAGUCUGCAGGCAGACAGCUGGAUACAGCGCUGUGUAUAAAAUGAGACGUCCAAACACUUGAGUUUCUUAAGAUCGGGAUCUCUUUCAAAUGAAAAAGGACAGGGCCAAGUAGAGAAAAGACUUUGUGCUACCACCCGGCCUUAAUGAGUCUCAUGGUCUAAAAGUAUAGGAAGAAAUGAAAUGCACUUUCAGAAGCUAAAAUGACAGUGUCUGCUACAAAAGGCUGUAGUUGUAGACAGUCGGGGAUGCCAUGUCCUUGGUUCCAUUCCUGCGUGAGUCUGCAGAAGGCACACACUUUGUAAGAGUAGAGCGGACUAGUGCCAGCCUGAAUAGGUUUAAAACUGCAAACAGUUGGAGAACAUGGAACAGGUUGGUGCAGGGAGCCUAAGAUUUUGCAAUCAUAUUAUAACAUUGGCUUUUGACAACAUAAAUGUAUCUUCCCUAAGGUCAGGUCAGGGAAAGAAAGACUUCCAGCUUCUUACCUCUGCGUGCAUGGGCACGUGUACAUUGCUCAGUCCACAGGAGGUCUCACUCCGCAGGAAACGCUCUCCUCCCGCAUUAGUCUGUACUUCCAUCCCCUCAUCUGUGGUAGUAGUGAAGGCUAGGUGAGUAAGCGUGGGCUGUUCUACCCACCAGAAGUCCAGGAGCUGUUGUAUACCUCAUUUCUAACUCGUGACCGAGUGACUUGCUUUAACUUUCUCGAAACCCUACAGAGUUGCCAAGUCUGCCCUCCCUCCUCAGUCAUGUUAAACUCUGGCCUAUAGCAUCAUGGGACCUGUAGCCUAGGGUGGGACCCCCUAAAGCCUCUGAAUGUCGCUGCUUAAAAGCUACUGCAAACUGAGGGCAAAUUGCAAUCUUCUAUUCCUUUUUGUUGCAAGGGGUCUUCACAGGUCUCUUAACAUCUACCUUCCCUGCCACCCUGCCUUUAGGGGCUGGCCAGCUAUCCACACCCCUAACCCACCCUGUGUUUCUGACAGCUGGCCACACAUCAACUUCUGUACUUGCCUUUUCCUUGGUGGGUAGAGGCCAACCCCUUCUCCUCUGAGGCCUCAGGGUUCUGUUUCUUUUCAGGACUUUGGGUAGAAGGGAAGACACCAAAGGCUCCUUUAAGCUGACUGCUGCAUACACAUUUCACUUUUUUUCCUUUGACAUGACCAAAAAUAUCCAAAUAUUUAAGUUUAUUAUUAUUAUUAAUAUUAUUAUUAUUUGACAAUCUUAUAUCCAAUGGGCUCUCUAGAAGCUGCAUCCCCAGCCCUUUCACCUUUUCUUUGAAUGUAGUUCCCAACCUUCAAUUCCCACCCCUAAUUCUGACAAAAAGCUUAGCCAGGUCAUGAUACUGCUGCUAUAAGCCAGGGGAGGGUGGUUUCUUUGUUUUGUUUUGUUUUGUUUUGUUUUUUAAAUUUCCAGCCAAAACCAAAGAUUUCUUAAUGAUUGUAUAAACUCAAAACAAACAAAAGAACCAAAGAAAAGGGAAGUCUUCAGCAUCAGUCCAGUCUGUGGUGUCCUGGCACUUAGAAGAGUGAGGCCAGGGAAGGUGGGGCGGGGGGACCCUCUGACUGGAUCAGAAAGGGCAGGCAAGCUGUUUUCCACCUUCCAGGGUCCAGCACAGGUGCAUGCCCCUAGCUUUGGCCCUCACAAACUUGUGAGCAUGCCCUGAAACAAAUUGGCAUUUCAGAUUUUCCAAAACAAAAGUCAAAAAACCCCAUCACCACCAUCAUCCACCCUACACCAACCAGGGUCACUAUGGGGACUUAGCACAGGGCCUAGGGAGGGUGGGAGCUGCUGCUAGACUGGCCCGAGGACUCCACAGAGUGGGGGACGUUGAAGACACUGGCGCACGAUUGGCUGCUCUGCUGGGUGCUUUAACCUCUGGGGCUGGGCGAAUGCACGCCACGGUGCCCUUCUGAGCCUUUUUUCUCUUUUCCUGUACUGGAACUGCUUGGAAGUGGCUGUCCUGUUUGUGAGAAAACAUGCAGAAAGAUUAUCAAGCUUUUCAUUUCUCUUUAUUGUAGUUUUCUUUCCUUUUUGCAGCACCACUGUGCAACUAUGCAUUGUACUUCACAACCUUUUGUGCUAGGUAGAUGCCUGUGACUUUUUAACUUGGGGGGUGGGGGGAUUGCAAAUGAAGGAACUUUUUACAUGGAUCUUUUUAAUCUCAGUUGAUUGGGGGAGGGGGGUACUUGGUUCUUGGGUCAUACAAGCUCUAUCCCAAAGCAAAAUCCAAAUGUUAAUAAUAUUAGCCUGAUGCAGAUACCAAAGAUAAUUUCUUUCCUGCAGAACCUUAGACUCGUGUAUUAAGUACGAUUACCCAGCACUUGCAUUAGUCUAACCUCAGUAAUUCCAAAGCUUAGAUGUAUAUUUUGGUAUAUUUCUGGGAUAUUAAAAAAAAUGUCGUUUAACUUCUUGUUUGUUUCAGUGUAAUGCUCUUAAAGUCAUAGCAUGAAAAUAAUUGAACUGUCCUAUUCUUAGUAGUUUGAAAUAAUAGUAUUUUUGUAUGUUUUGGGUGUGUCUAUGUAUGUAUUAACAUAACAGUUUUCACUGCCUAGGUGUUCAUAAUAAAAAAAUGAAAAAAGUUCUGAGUGUACAUAAUAUUCAAUAAUAAUCUCCCACCAGGUGUCAAUUUAGAUUGCAUAUUCCUCAUUACUGUUCCCAACUGGGAUUUUGUUUUCUUUUAAAGAGACAGUGAUCGUGUUUUUCUAAAGAUGUUUUCUUUCUCUCUUUCAAUAUCUUAACUCACUUUUUUUUCUUCCUUUUUUGUCUUAAUUAUUAAUUCAGGGGUGUUUGUCCACUGUUGUCAAAGGAGGGGCACAAGGGGAAUUGGCCCCUUGGCCUCCUAGAACUUUUUGUUUUAUGUACUUUAAAAUGUGAGUUUGAGUUCUUCUUUGUGGAAACUUAAGAUGUGGUGUAAAUGAUUCUUUCCAAAAUUGUCCAGCAGCUUUAAUGAGGCAGUGACAAUUCUGAGGUGGUUUAUUGGGAGUCCUUCUACAUUUCUCUUAAAUAACUCUGCACUCUGGGUGGCUAUUGUGUAGCCUUACUGCCCCAGAGUGCCUGUUAGCCAAAUAUUUCCCCUCUGAUAGGAAUAUUUUCUAAGAAUCAGCUGAUAACUUGCUUGCUGGACCUUGUUAUCUGUGCCCCUGGGAGACACACGUUUUCUUGGUUUUGAAAACCUGAAACACAGGCAACUUUACAUUUUGGGGAAUUAGCUGAUGCCUCCUGAGGCCUGAGGAGGUGGCGGGGAAUAUGAGCGGUGCUGUCUCUCUCAAAGUGCCCUUUAGAUGAUUCCCCCUCCUAGGGCUGCCUGCAGGGGCUGUAGGCUUGGGAAAGAUUGUGUAGGUGACAGUGAAUCAGAAUGAAAUGGUAGAUUUUGUGUAGAUGCAUUUGUCUGCUGUAAUUUUUUAUAUAUAUAUUAAACUUACUGUAACUGUACAGUUCAUUUCUGUUGUAAAACAUCAUUAAACCAUUUUCCAAGUGUUUUCACAUUG
Molecule: small RNA, 14357 nt
Filed under: Pongo abelii (Sumatran orangutan)
Lineage: Eukaryota; Metazoa; Chordata; Mammalia; Primates; Hominidae
Description: processed transcript
Source: RNAcentral